RNAcentral lists this long non-coding RNA (6861 nucleotides) under Lactuca sativa (garden lettuce). RNAcentral's name for it is "long non-coding RNA (LSAT_LNC001616)". The record is from RNAcentral. Lineage: Eukaryota; Viridiplantae; Streptophyta; Magnoliopsida; Asterales; Asteraceae.
GCGAGUCUGUUCAGUACCAGUUCUCUGACAAGUAUCUAUAAAUCUUUGUUACAAUCACUUGCCUGAUUUGUGACAUCCCCAAAAUCUCGGCCAGAAAAGACCGUUUUUCAUUUAUGCUUUAAAAAUAUUUUCAGAGUAAAUCCUUUUGAUUUGAAAGAGUUGCGGAAUUUGUUCCCAAAAACAAAACAUGAUAAAACAAUGUUUACCAAAGCAUUUCAUAAAAGAAAUGUAUUUUUCAUUAUAUAAUCAAAACUCGGGGUGUCAUGUUCCGAUACAGACCAAUAAGCAUAAACGAUAACAUUACAAGUCAUUCAAAAAAUAUAUACAUAUAUAGACUUGUAAACAAAACAACUGAUGGUUCAUCCAUCUCAUGCCCUCGCGCCACUUCCUGUAAUACAAAUAAAACUGAGUGGGUCAGGCUUGGGAGCCUGGUGAGCAUAUAGGGUUUUCAACCCACAAUAAAUAAUCAUAUUUAAUUUUCACCAACCAACAAUAACCCAAUUACCCAUUCCCGUUAUUCUCACUUUAUGUCCCUAAAACAACUAACAUAAGGGACCUAGUCUAAGAAUAUUUCAUCGGGGCGACAACACAUGCUUCGGGGGUACCUCAGCAAUAUAAGUCAAAUAAGGCAACCAUGAGGGGGAUGGAGUACAGCGAAUGAACACCCAAGUUCAUUAACACCUACAGGUGGCGAACCUGCUAAUGUUUCCACAAGACUGUCUAGAAUAGCCAGUGGUCGUCAUCUAAACUCCGCUAGAUGACUAAAUCAAACAACAACGAGGCCUCUCAUCUGUUUAUUACACACCAACUAUCUACCCAUGUUCUACCCAACAUAUUAGUAGAUAAAAAUAUACAUUUUAUACAUAGAUAAAAACCUGUAUAGCAUGCUUUAAUCAACACAUAUUUCACAUAACAGAUGAGGCACACACACACAUAACACAUAUCUCAUAGAGAAUAAAUCAUAUCUAUGAGAUAAAACAGAGUGAAUACACAUUCACACAUAUAAACAACAAUAUACUAUACACAUAGCACGUAUUUUAUAGAAAAUACUUAAUAUUUAUGUGUUAGAAGAAGGUAACUACACACUUACACUUAUAAACAACAAUAUACUUAAUACACUCGAACCAAACUUUUAUUAUUAUCGUGUUUAUGAAAGGUAGUAUACACUCACUUGAUCAGAAGAUGAUCGGACAGCACUACGACUUGCAGAAAUAGUAAUCGUCAGCAGAUCUGAAAGAUCUUCACAAAAAUUGAACUUCUCAUGGGCAGAGCUUCGGCCGGGAACCGUACUUCUCGGGAUCUUCGGGAUCUCGGGACUUGCCUCGGGGCUUGAGUAUGAUACCGGGGCUUCGGGAUAUUUCUGGCACGCAAAACGAUGCAAAACGGGAGAGAGAAGAGAGGAAAUUGGCAAAAGACUCGGCUGCCUUCGGUUCCUAUUUAUAGGAGGCUGGAGCCUCGGAGUACGCGGGGCGUACUGCAGUACGCAGCGCGUACUGCUUCCGAAAUCGUCACUGCAUGCGUCAUCCGAAAUGUCGACACUCUUCGGAGUACGCGGGGCGUACGUCGGAUCGGACCGGUGACUCGUCUUCGGAUAAUGCCGGAUUAAAAGAUUAAUUUUAAUUACAAAAUAUUUAAUAAACUUCAGAAAUUCAUAACUUUCGCAUACGAACUCCGUUUUCGACGUUCUUUAUAUCCACGCGAAGGUGAGACCACGCUCUACAACUUUCGUUUAGACUCCGUCGGCUAAUUUCGACUUUAUUUUUAUUAUUUAUUUUUAAUAGGCCGCGACAGAAAAACUUCGUUAUAAAUUCAUAACUUCUUCGUUUGACGUCCGUUCUCGCCUAACUUUUUAUCGCUUCGAUACCAACAACGAGACCUUCGAUCCUCGUUUAGAUUGCUAAGGCUAAAUACCGCUCUAACGUAAAUUCACUUUUUACGUUGCGCUGUGUCGUGCCGGUUCUGUCGCGAAACUUCGACAGGUCAUAACUUCUUCGUUAUAACUCGGAUUUUGGCGUUCUUUAUAUGCACGGAAACCUUGUAACAUAUACUACAACUUAGUUAGGAUUAUUCAUCCUAAAUAAUCUUCUAUCAAAAAGUCAUUUUUGACUCUUAUUGUCUCUAAAUUGACUAGCCCUGAUCUACGGGCGUUACAAUUAUCUCCCCCUUAGGAUGAUUACGUCCCGGAAUCAUCAACGAAAUAGGAUUCGCAUACUGACUCCAUAAGUUAUCUCUCCAUUCUAAGUAAUAACCCUGAUGGGUCGUGUCCCGAUGACCUCUCAUCAUAGUCGGACUCAAUUGAUAUGACCCCUAGGGUCGGAAUAACAACUAUCUUACUAGACAUUACCGAAACAAUGGUAAUGACAUACUUGAAUAAAACGGAAUCAAUUACUAGCUUCUUGAUAACCUUGUGACUUCCCCUGAUCCAAGCGUGAGUCCUGUGCUUCCGGUAGUAUAGAUCUCUACUACCAUUCACACCUACUCAUACUCGUCCCAAGUAUUGUCUCGCAGUUAACCAAGUCACCAUACAUAAAUCAUAUAAUCAUUCAACACAUCAGAUAACAAAACUAGGAUUUAUAUUAAUUCUUGAAACUAUUACACAAAAGUUCAAGUUCACCCUAUACUAUGCCUCUAACAGGCUAUGCUUCCUGAUACAGACUUUACCGACUUUAUAUAUUAAUAUGAAGUCUUCAUCCUUUAACCCUCCCAUCCCUUUCUGCUUCGUUGAGGAACAUGUUGAAUGCCCUUGGCUGUGGAGGUGUGUUUUUCUGUGGGCAGUCUUUAGAAAUAUGACCUUCUUCAUUACACCUAUAGCACAUCUUCUUGUUAGGUGCGCACUUGUUGGCAUAGUGCCCUGUCUUCCCACAUUUGUAGCAAGUCAUCUCCUCGCUACAUUUCCCGAAGUGUUUCUUCUUACACUUCUCACACCACUUAGCCUCAUCUCUUCCUCCAGUUUUCGAGAAUUUACUUUCUUUAUCGAUUAUUGAAGAUCCUUCACGCUUCCUUUUCUCUCCAACUUCAGCCCUUUCCAGACCCUUUUCUUUUAUUUGGGUCUCAACAUUUUUGGCUGCCCAGAUGGCGGCUUUCAGAGUGGUUGCUUGUUUGACUAUCGGACCAAAGUCCGCUGGUAAUCCAUUAGCAAACUUGUUGACCUUGGAAAGUUCAGUCGGAAUUAGGUAUGGAAUAAGCUUCAUCUUCUCCGUAAAGCUCGUAGCGUAUUCAGUAACGCUCAAUUUUCCUUUCUUCAGAUUCUGGAACUCAUUGUUGAUUUCCAGAAGAUCCUGCUCAGAGCAGUAUUGCAUUUUCAUUUGCUCCACGAACUCUUCCCAAGACAUCUUGCUAGCUUCCCCCUUGGGCAUUGAACCAGCCAGUAACUUCCACCAGCUCAAUACUCCAGAUUUUAACAGAGGGAUUGCAAGAGCGGUCUUCUGUCUGUUGCUACACUCGCAACUUUCAAACAUUGUCUCCAUUUCGGAGAUCCAGUCCAUGACUUGCACCGGUGUCGGGCUCCCAGAAAGACAUGGUGGUUUGGAUGCCAUGAAAUCCUUGUACUUGCAUCCACGUCCAUCAUUUCCUCUAUCCUGGUUGUUUUGGCGAACUAUUGGUGGGUUGGCUUGACCAACGGUCCCACUAUAGUUUCCUCCUUCAGAAUGCCCUCCAUUUACUUCGGGCUCUUCUACUCGAAUUGACAAUUCCUCGCGAUUUUGUCUGAUCAGACGUCUAGUUUCUUCCAUCUGAUUAUUCAACAUUGCCUGGAUCAUCACUUGAACUCCGGCCAUUGUCAUUGGUUCAGGCGCUGCUGCCACAACAGGUAUUUGUUCAAUUACUGGUACUUGAUUCCUGUUCUCAUCAGCAUUUCCAACUCCACUCCUCGUUCUCACCAUUUUUGAUCUAUACACCGAAUAUGGUGAAAUUAGAUCCUUAAUCACGAUAGAUAUUCAAAUCAUCCUUAUCACUCCGAAACGUUUAUAUGCUAGUUCUAAUAUCGUAGACGUACGCUUAGAAUCCUAUACACAUAAGGUUUCCAGAUCCGGUCGGCAACAGACCAUAGAUCCGAACAAAUAAUAGCAUCAAUAUAGCUAUCACACAAAACAUUUAGCACGCAAAAGCAUUUUAGGCAAUUUUCCUAAAAUAAAAUAGUGCCUGUGUCAAUUUAGGUGUACUACCUAAAAUAUAAUGGACACACUCAACUCGCAAUCAUUGCUUAGCAUUCUAAGUUUAAGUCUAGAAAUCCUACAAAUUCCUAGUUCGCUUAAACUAAUGCUCUGAUACCAACUGUGACAUCCCCAAUUUCACGGCCAGAAAAGACCGAUUUGUUUAUGCUUUGUUUUCAAAAUCAGAGUGAUCGUUUAAAGAAAACGGUUGCGGAAUUUGUUCCCAAAAUAAAAUAUGAUAACCAUUUUAUCAAAACAUUUCUCGAAAAGAAUGUAUUUUUAUUAAAUAAUAAAACCUCGGGAUGUCAUGUUCGUUACAGACCAAAAGCAUAAACAACAUAAAAUAGACCUUACAAUAGUUAUUCAACUACUGAUCUAUAAUCCAAAAUCUCUCGUCAAGUCCGCCGACUUAUACUCUUGUGUCAUUACCUGUAAUGAAAAGAAAACUGAGUGGGUCAGGCUUGGGAGCCUGGUGAGCAUAUAGGGUUUUCAACCCACAAUAAUACAUUUAUUAUAUUCAAUUAUCAAACAAUCAACUCAAAUACCCAUCUCCAUCAUCUUCUUAAGGUUUCCCCCUAAGAACCAACUAUCCUUCAUUCACUUAUUCCUAAGGAAUCGGCACGAAAUCCAUUGCUGCCAAAGUUUAUCUAUCGAGUACUAAAUCCAUAGUUAUAAGACGCUAACUCCAUAGUCGUCGGGGUUUACUCAAGCGGCGCUAACUCCAUAGUCACCAAGGUUCACUUAACAAGCGCUAACUCCAUAGUCGCCAAGGUUUACUUAACAAGCGCUAACUCCAUAGUCGCCAAGGUUCAUCAAAUAGGCACGAAGUCACAUCGUCGCCAAGGUUUAUGCAAUAGGCGCUAACUCCAUAGUCACCAAGGUUUAUACAAAAGGCGCUAACUCCAUAGUCACCAAGGUUUAUCUAACAACAGGCGCUAACUCCAUAGUCACCAAGGUUUAUCUAACAGCAGGCGCUAACUCCAUAGUCACCAAGGUUUAUCUAACAGCAGGCGCUAACUCCAUAGUCACCAACUAACCCAUCUACCCAUGUUCUACCCAACAAUAUUAGUAGAUAAAAAUAUACAUUUGUAUACAUAGUUUAAAGAAAACCUGUAUAGCAUGCUUUAAUCAACACAUAUAUCACAUAACAGAUGAGGCACACACACGUAACACAUAUCUCAUAAAGAAAUAAGCAGAUCUGUAAGAUAGAAGAGAGUGAAUACUCAUUCACACAUAACACAACCAAAUAUAUACACAUAGCACGUAUUUUUAUAUAAAAUACUUCGUAUUAUUGUAUUAGAAGAAAUAACUACACACUCACUUGAUCAGAAGACGAUCCGACAGCACUACGGCUUAUAGAAGUAGUAUUCCUCAGCAGAUCUGGAAGAUCUCCUCGAAAAUCGAACUUCUCGCGGGCAGAGCUUCGACUCGGGAACCGCACUUUUCGGGAUCUUCGGGAUCUCGGGACUUGCCUCGGGGCUAGGGUAUAAUACCGGGGCUUCGGGGUAUUUCUGGCACGCAAAACGAUGCAAAACGGGAGAGAGAAGAGAAGAAAUUGGCAAUUGGGUCGGCUGCCCUCGCAUCCUAUUUAUAGGAGGCUGGAGCCUCGGAGUACGCGGGGCGUACGCCAGUACGCGGGGCGUACUGGUCCGAAAAACGUCACUGCGUGCGUCAUCCGAAGCCACUUGCUGCGAAUGUCGACACUUCGGAGUACGCGGGGCGUACUCGAGUACGCAGCGCGUACCUCGGAUCAGACCGGUGACUCCUUCGGAUAAUGCUUCCGAAUUUCCUUUUAAAUUUAAAUACAAAUUGAUUAAUAAACUUCGGAAAUUCAUAUCUUCUUCAUACGAACUCCGUUUUCGACGUUCUUUAUAUCCACGCGAAGGUGAGACUACGCUCUACAACUUUCGUUUAGACUCCGUCGGCUAAUUUCGACUUUAUUUUUAUUAUUUAUUUUUAAUAGGCCGCGACAGAAAAACUUCGUUAUAAAUUCAUAACUUCUUCGGUUGACGUCCGUUCUCGCCUAACUUUUUAUCGCUUCGAUACCAACAAUGAGAUCUUCGAUUCUCAUUUAGAUUACUUCGGCUAAAAACCCCUCGAUCUCAAAUCGAGUAAAACAGGCUGCUCACCGCUAAGCCGAAACUUCGAUAAAUCAUAACUUCCUCAUACGAAGUCAGAUUUGGGCGUUCUAUAUAUAUUCGGAAACCUCGUUUCAACUACUUCAACAUUAUUCAAAGAUAUUAAGUUUAUUUUACACUUAAAUUUUGACGCUUAUUUUUAUUCUUAAUUAAUCAAACCACAUAAUUAAGCAAUUAAGCACAAAACACACAAUACUUAAAUAAUACAAUCUUAUUAUUUCAAAACGGGUUACAGAGGUUAACCUAGACUAUUACAUUGAUAAAAAUGGCAAGCCCGGAAACACAGGCGUUACAUGAUUUGAUCAGAUGAUAGUCAAUCAAUCCAAUUAAUAUUAGUCUUACUUCAACUUCAGAAGUAACCGUGUAUUCUUAGUUUGUAGUAGACUGUGAAAUAAUGUUUCGCUUGGACCUCAUUCAACCUAAACUUAUUCUCCAUUCGUUAUAAUCCAAUUAUAAUUCAUAAUUAUAUCUAUUUGUUUUGAAGUCGGCAUCCUGUGUAUCUCCUUACAUAUAGAUCUUCUUCUAGACUGGUUAUCUCAUGUGCAUUCUCUUAGUUCUUCUUAAGUACUCUU